This 562-nucleotide ribosomal RNA is filed under the name uncultured bacterium. RNAcentral describes it as "bacterial SSU rRNA". It matches the Rfam family "Bacterial small subunit ribosomal RNA", at positions 8 to 569 of the family's 1533-position model. The record is from RNAcentral.
AGAGUUUGAUCAUGGCUCAGGACGAACGCUGGCGGCGUGCCUAACACAUGCAAGUCGAACGGAGCGCUAUUGAAGAACUUUUCGGAGGGAAUCGAGAGCAGCUUAGUGGCGGACGGGUGAGUAACGCGUGAGGAACCUGCCUUUCAGAGGGGGACAACAGCUGGAAACGGCUGCUAAUACCGCAUAACGCAGCGGGAUCGCAUGAUCCUGCUGCCAAAGAAUUAUCGCUGAAAGAUGGCCUCGCGUCUGAUUAGAUAGUUGGUGAGGUAACGGCCCACCAAGUCGACGAUCAGUAGCCGGACUGAGAGGUUGACCGGCCACAUUGGGACUGAGACACGGCCCAGACUCCUACGGGAGGCAGCAGUGGGGAAUAUUGCGCAAUGGGGGGAACCCUGACGCAGCAACGCCGCGUGAAGGAAGAAGGUCUUCGGAUUGUAAACUUUUGUCUUCAGGGAAGAAGAAGUGACGGUACCUGAGGAGGAAGCUCCGGCUAACUACGUGCCAGCAGCCGCGGUAAUACGUAGGAGCGAGCGUUGUCCGGAAUUACUGGGUGUAAAGGGUG